ACCAGACUCCUACGGGAGGCAGCAGUGGGGGAUAUUGCACAAUGGGGGGAACCCUGAUGCAGCGACGCCGCGUGGGUGAAGAAGCGCCUCGGCGCGUAAAGCCCUGUCAGCAGGGAAGAAAAUGACGGUACCUGAAGAAGAAGCCCCGGCUAACUACGUGCCAGCAGCCGCGGUAAUACGUAGGGGGCAAGCGUUAUCCGGAUUUACUGGGUGUAAAGGGGGCGCAGACGGCGAUGCAAGCCAGGAGUGAAAGCCCGGGGCCCAACCCCGGGACUGCUCUUGGAACUGCGUGGCUGGAGUGCAGGAGGGGCAGGCGGAAUUCCUGGUGUAGCGGUGAAAUGCGUAGAUAUCAGGAGGAACACCGGUGGCGAAGGCGGCCUGCUGGACUGCAACUGACGUUGAGGCCCGAAAGCGUGGGGAGCAAACAGGAUUAGAUACCCCCGUAGUU
Molecule: ribosomal RNA, 448 nt
Filed under: uncultured bacterium
Lineage: Bacteria
Description: partial 16S ribosomal RNA
Rfam family: Bacterial small subunit ribosomal RNA
Source: RNAcentral